UUUGUUGCCAUAGUUAAGCGUCCUUAAGUUCAAAGGGCACAAACCGAAACUAUACCGACUACGUCGGAAAAAGAAUAAAAGUAGAUGUGACAACAUGAAACCUCUAUGUUUUCAUAGGGGGUCACCAUGUGACAGUGCCAAACCGAUCACAUCCUCACUGAUAAACCAGAGGUGCAAUAAAUAAAACUAUCAAGCUUUUAUAUUCUUCACAUUUGUCUUGUAAACAAAUUAUUUAUUCAAUACACUGAGAUCACUCUUGAAUAAAUUAUCACAAUGAUAUGAAUGAAGCUACAAAAAAAAGGAAUAUGUGAACAAUAAAAAUAAAUAAAUUAAUACAAAAUAUGUACUGAACAAUAAACAUCCUUUAAAUAAGUACAAUUAAAUGAAUAAUGAACACAAUAAAAACAACAAAUGUCACAAGGAAUGAGCUAACAAUUUUUAUGAUCUUUUAUGGAUGUAUGAAAAAAAAACAGUAUAUUGUUGAACCC
Molecule: long non-coding RNA, 488 nt
Filed under: Mytilus galloprovincialis (Mediterranean mussel)
Lineage: Eukaryota; Metazoa; Mollusca; Bivalvia; Mytilida; Mytilidae
Source: RNAcentral